GCAUAUCAAUAAGCGGAGGAAAAGAAACUAACAAGGAUUCCCCUAGUAACGGCGAGUGAAGAGGGAAGAGCUCAAAUUUGAAAGCUGGUACCUCCGGUAUCCGCGUUGUAACCUCGAGACGCGUUUUCCGUGCGGCGCUAUGGACAAGUUCCUUGGAACAGGACAUCGUAGAGGGUGAAAAUCCCGUACUUGCCAUGGAUGUACCGUGCUUUGCGAUACGUGCUCUAAGAGUCGAGUUGUUUGGGAUUGCAGCUCAAAAUGGGUGGUAGACUCCAUCUAAAGCUAAAUAUCGGGGAGAGACCGAUAGCGAACAAGUACCGUGAGGGAAAGAUGAAAAGCACUUUGGAAAGAGAGUUAAAAGUACGUGAAAUUGUCGAAAGGGAAGCGCUUGAAGUCAGCCAUGCCGCUCAGGACUCAGCCUGGCUUUUGCUUGGUGUAUUUCCUGGGUAGCAAGUCAGCAUUGGUUUGGAUCGUCGGAGAAGCAUAGUCGGAAUGUGGCGCCCUCGGGCGUGUUAUAGCCUUCUAUUGGAUACGACGAUCUAGACCAAGGAACGCAGCGCGCCUUAUGGCGGGUCUUCGGACACCUUCGCGCUUAGGAUGCUGGCGUAAUGGCUUUAAGUGGCCCGUCUUGAAACACGGACC
Molecule: ribosomal RNA, 642 nt
Filed under: Malassezia furfur
Lineage: Eukaryota; Fungi; Basidiomycota; Malasseziomycetes; Malasseziales; Malasseziaceae
Description: eukaryotic LSU rRNA
Rfam family: Eukaryotic large subunit ribosomal RNA
Source: RNAcentral